Molecule: ribosomal RNA, 1061 nt
Filed under: Erwinia piriflorinigrans
Lineage: Bacteria; Pseudomonadati; Pseudomonadota; Gammaproteobacteria; Enterobacterales; Erwiniaceae
Description: bacterial SSU rRNA
Rfam family: Bacterial small subunit ribosomal RNA
Source: RNAcentral
GAACGGUAGCACAGAGAGCUUGCUCUCGGGUGACGAGUGGCGGACGGGUGAGUAAUGUCUGGGAAACUGCCCGAUGGAGGGGGAUAACUACUGGAAACGGUAGCUAAUACCGCAUAACGUCUACGGACCAAAGUGGGGGACCUUCGGGCCUCACACCAUCGGAUGUGCCCAGAUGGGAUUAGCUAGUAGGUGGGGUAACAGGCUCACCUAGGCGACGAUCCCUAGCUGGUCUGAGAGGAUGACCAGCCACACUGGAACUGAGACACGGUCCAGACUCCUACGGGAGGCAGCAGUGGGGAAUAUUGCACAAUGGGCGCAAGCCUGAUGCAGCCAUGCCGCGUGUAUGAAGAAGGCCUUCGGGUUGUAAAGUACUUUCAGCGGGGAGGAAGGCGAUGAGGUUAAUAGCCUCGUCGAUUGACGUUACCCGCAGAAGAAGCACCGGCUAACUCCGUGCCAGCAGCCGCGGUAAUACGGAGGGUGCAAGCGUUAAUCGGAAUUACUGGGCGUAAAGCGCACGCAGGCGGUCUGUCAAGUCGGAUGUGAAAUCCCCGGGCUCAACCCGGGAACUGCAUUCGAAACUGGCAGGCUAGAGUCUUGUUAGAGGGGGGUAGAAUUCCAGGUGUAGCGGUGAAAUGCGUAGAGAUCUGGAGGAAUACCGGUGGCGAAGGCGGCCCCUGGACAAGACUGACGCUCAGGUGCGAAAGCGUGGGAGCAAACAGGAUUAGAUACCCUGGUAGUCCACGCCGUAAACGAUGUCGACUUGGAGGCUGUUCCCUUGAGGAGUGGCUUCCGGAGCUAACGCGUUAAGUCGACCGCCUGGGGAGUACGGCCGCAAGGUUAAAACUCAAAUGAAUUGACGGGGGCCCGCACAAGCGGUGGAGCAUGUGGUUUAAUUCGAUGCAACGCGAAGAACCUUACCUGGCCUUGACAUCCACGGAAUUCUGCAGAGAUGCGGAAGUGCCUUCGGGACCCGUGAGACAGGUGCUGCAUGGCUGUCGUCAGCUCGUGUUGUGAAAUGUUGGGUUAAGUCCCGCAACGAGCGCAACCCUUAUCCUUUGUUG